Molecule: ribosomal RNA, 477 nt
Filed under: uncultured organism
Description: partial 16S ribosomal RNA
Rfam family: Bacterial small subunit ribosomal RNA
Source: RNAcentral
UACACUCCUGCGGGAGGCAGCAGUGGGGAAUUUUGGACAAUGGGCGAAAGCCUGAUCCAGCCAUGCCGCGUGCAGGAUGAAGGCCUUCGGGUUGUAAACUGCUUUUGUACGGAACGAAACGGCCUUUUCUAAUAAAGAGGGCUAAUGACGGUACCGUAAGAAUAAGCACCGGCUAACUACGUGCCUGCAGCCGCGGUAAUACGUAGGGUGCAAGCGUUAAUCGGAAUUACUGGGCGUAAAGCGUGCGCAGGCGGUUAUGUAAGACAGUUGUGAAAUCCCCGGGCUCAACCUGGGAACUGCAUCUGUGACUGCAUAGCUAGAGUACGGUAGAGGGGGAUGGAAUUCCGCGUGUAGCAGUGAAAUGCGUAGAUAUGCGGAGGAACACCGAUGGCGAAGGCAAUCCCCUGGACCUGUACUGACGCUCAUGCACGAAAGCGUGGGGAGCAAACAGGAUUAGAAACCCCUGUAGUCCCAUGA